This 520-nucleotide ribosomal RNA is filed under the name uncultured Pelagibacterales bacterium. Its description in RNAcentral is "bacterial SSU rRNA". It matches the Rfam family "Bacterial small subunit ribosomal RNA", at positions 103 to 658 of the family's 1533-position model. The record is from RNAcentral. Lineage: Bacteria; Pseudomonadati; Pseudomonadota; Alphaproteobacteria; Candidatus Pelagibacterales.
CGGGUGAGUAUAAUGUGGGAAUCUGCCUUUUGGUCUGGAAUAACACGAGGAAACUUGUGCUAAUACCGGAUAAGCCUUUACAGGGAAAGUUUUAAUGCCAAAAGAUGAGCCCGCACUUGAUUAGCUAGUUGGUAAGGUAAAAGCUUACCAAGGCAACGAUCAAUAGCUGUUCUUAGAGGAAGACCAGCCACAUUGGGACUGAGACACGGCCCAAACUCCUACGGGAGGCAGCAGUGGGGAAUCUUGCACAAUGGGGGAAACCCUGAUGCAGCGAUGCCGCGUGAGUGAAGAAGGCCUUUGGGUUGUAAAACUCUUUCGUCGGGGAAGAAAAUGACUGUACCCGAAUAAGAAGGUCCGGCUAACUUCGUGCCAGCAGCCGCGGUAAUACGAAGGGACCUAGCGUAGUUCGGAAUUACUGGGCUUAAAGAGUUCGUAGGUGGUUAAAAAAGUUGAUGGUGAAAUCCCAAGGCUCAACCUUGGAACUGCCAUCAAAACUUUUUAGCUAGAGUAUGAUAGAGGA